This 230-nucleotide ribosomal RNA is filed under the name uncultured bacterium. RNAcentral describes it as "partial 16S ribosomal RNA". It matches the Rfam family "Bacterial small subunit ribosomal RNA", at positions 109 to 334 of the family's 1533-position model. The record is from RNAcentral.
AGUAACACGUGGGUAACCUGCCCAUCAGAAGGGGAUAACACUUGGAAACAGGUGCUAAUACCGUAUAACAAUCGAAAUCGCAUGGUUUCGGUUUGAAAGGCGCUUUUGCGUCACUGAUGGAUGGACCCGCGGUGCAUUAGCUAGUUGGUGAGGUAACGGCUCACCAAGGCAACGAUGCAUAGCCGACCUGAGAGGGUGAUCGGCCACAUUGGGACUGAGACACGGCCCAA